UACAGAGGUCUCAAGCGUUGUUCGGAAUUACUGGGCGUAAAGGGUGCGUAGGCUGCGUUGUAAGUCAGGCGUGAAAGCUCGGGGCUCACCCUCGAAACUGCGCUUGAUACUGCGAUGCUAGAGGACUGAAGAGGGAUCUGGAAUUCACAGUGUAGCAGUGAAAUGCGUAGAUAUUGUGAGGAACACCAAAGGCGAAAGCAAGAUUCUUGGCAGUACCUGACGCUGAGGCACGAAGGCCAGGGGAGCAAACGGG
This 253-nucleotide ribosomal RNA is filed under the name uncultured bacterium. RNAcentral's name for it is "partial 16S ribosomal RNA". It matches the Rfam family "Bacterial small subunit ribosomal RNA", at positions 524 to 776 of the family's 1533-position model. The record is from RNAcentral.